Molecule: long non-coding RNA, 2220 nt
Organism: Hevea brasiliensis (rubber tree)
Lineage: Eukaryota; Viridiplantae; Streptophyta; Magnoliopsida; Malpighiales; Euphorbiaceae
Exons: 3
Source: RefSeq, a predicted model, not a curated record
AGGAGAGAGGAAAGAGAGGAGAGAGGGAGAGCGCGCGACCGGGGGCCCGACUUCGCGGCGUCGCCCCGGCCAACUCCGGCGGCCAUUUCCUGUGAUUUCAAGUGCUACGGACUCCCAAGAUGAUGAACUUUCAGAUGAGACCAGUGGCACCUCGUUUGGUGGCCGGAGGAAAGAGAACCGGCGAGGGAAAGUUGGAAGAAAAUCAUAUGGGUUUCUCGAUUUUCGAUCACUUUUCCGGCGAUCCGACCGUCGGAUCGGAAAUCCGAGGCCACCGAUGGACUCAGGACGACGAGAUCUUCGAGAUAGGACUGGUCCCGCUCCGAUCGGACACUGUUUGAAAAAGGCGAUAAUCGGACGGUCCAGAUCGCUUGGUGAGAUUUUCGAACUUUUUCGAUUUCUAAAAUUUAAAAAUAAUUUUAUGAUAAUUAUUAACAAAUUUUGGACUUAAAUUAGGUGCGAUUGGAUCGAGGAUAGCUCACCGGCGUCGGGACUGCAUUUUCAGCCAGAUCCGGCUGUCCGACGGCCCGUCUCAGAACGUGGUCAAUAUUAUAGUCAAUCCUAGCAUUUUCAGACGUUCUGGACGCGUUCCAGGUGUCAGAAUUGACAUAGGUGAUCGAGGUCGGCUAUUUUUCUGCAUCCAGCAGCCACAAUAGUCAUCGGUGUACUGCCACAGGAGGAGUUAUUUUACAGAGCAACCUGUUUUCUUCCUCGCAGGUUUAACGUCAAUUAUUUAAUUGUUUUACUAUCUUUUCUAAAUUUUAAAAUCUAGAACUCCGCAUGUGUUAGUAAUAGUGUGGACCUUGUUAGAAAUUGUGUUAAUUUGAAUUUUUGAGAUUUAUAAAUGAAGAUUUGUAUGAUAUUUAAACAGUUUGUAAAAUGAGGUAACAGGGUUGAGCCGGGCUCCCCUAAUUUUAGUCUCUGAUGAUUUCUGGGCUAAGAUGGCCCGAAAUAAAAUUAUAACAGUUUAAUUUAAAUUAUUUUUAUAUGCAUAUUGGGCCUAAAUUGUGGGCUUGGUUAUGGGUUGAGGAAUAGUUAGGCUUACUACGGGCCUCGGGGGCUUUAGGCUGGCCCAGGUCCUAGUGCCGGUCCGGCCCAUAGGUUGGGUCGUGACAAAGUUGGUAUCAGAGCUUAGGCUCUAGAUUCAUGGGAAAUAAUAUAAUUGGGAGUGUAAAAGGAGUCUUGUUAGGAUGUUACAUGCGGAGUAUAGGAUUCUGUUUCGUCUUUUUCUGUAAUUCUUUGUUUCUAGAUUCUGCGUUAUACCUCGGGAAAUAUAAAAGUGCCUCAGUUAGUGUCUUGAUUUUCGUGGAGUACAUAGAAAUGUGAAAUAGAGUUAGCAGACAGGUUGAGGUCUAUCAUGAGGAUACGUACUCCAAGAAAUGCUAUGUUUUUGUCAGUAUGGGUUUAAAUGGUGUGCCCAUUUCGUGCAAGGCACGAGUACAUAAAGGUGAGUCUUGAAAGUACAGUUGCCCUAGAUAAGGAUGAGGAUACCACUGCUGGCAGUCAUCAGUGGAUGACCCAGUCAGAGUAAGUUUAUGAUAAUAGAAGAUUCAAGAGAGAUAAGAGAUUAAGAGACCUAGUUGGUCAGGACGUAUCGUAGUAACUAUACAAUGUUCUCGAUGUCUGCUCUGUAAGCUGCAGAUUACAGUACCGACAUGAGAUUAUUGUGUAGAGCUGCGUACUUCCCUGUAGUGCUUAUGAUGAGGAUGUUGCAGGCAGUCUCUGUUUUGGUACAGUAAUACCAGAACAGAGUUCUAUAUCUGCAGAGAAGUUGGGAACUCCUGGUUAAGAGUCUAGAGUUAGAAUAUUGAAAGGUCACAGUUGGGUGAUAAUUAGAGUCAGUGACUCAGUUGCCCUAGCAUGAGCUAGAGUUACAGUAAGAGUUGCCAUCAGACCAGAGGCUUCGGACUAGUUGCAAAGUAAAGGUGACACCUAUAGAGUGAGAUCAUCUAGUCAUCAGUAUGGAAUUUUGGAUCAUUUUUGUAGUACGACAGACGUUUUGCUUAGAGCUUAGUGAGAAUAGUAUAUCUUGUGGGUAUCAGUAUGGAAUAAAGUACAACCCUAUUACUUAGAGAAGGUCGAAACUAUGAAUUGAUGAUUUACAGAGCUAUGAUAUGAUAAAGGAGACAUUAAUUUGACAUGGUUUUGGGCAAGGUGGUAAAUGUAGUACCUUUGUUGCAGCAAGUUAGGGUAUAGUCCUAUCUUUUCAGAAGGGAUCGAAAG